Molecule: transfer RNA, 52 nt
Filed under: Caretta caretta (loggerhead turtle)
Lineage: Eukaryota; Metazoa; Chordata; Testudines; Cheloniidae
Description: partial tRNA-Pro
Source: RNAcentral
ACCUUCAUCUCCGGUCCCCAAAACCGGAAUCUUCCAAUUAAACUACCCUUUG